RNAcentral lists this unclassified non-coding RNA (413 nucleotides) under Hevea brasiliensis (rubber tree). The record is from RNAcentral. Lineage: Eukaryota; Viridiplantae; Streptophyta; Magnoliopsida; Malpighiales; Euphorbiaceae.
GUGACAUAUACCUGCAACUCGUGAGACGUCGCAGAAGAGAACUGUUCUUGCUCAAUGCUCAGGGGUCAAGAGAAAGUUUGUCUAGAUUAUGAGUUCCUUGACUUGAAGCUUUUUUCAUUUCAAGAGCUCGUUUAUACGGUGGUGCAAUCGGAGGUUGUACAGGAUCUAAACAUUGAUAGGUUCCAUCUGCAGAUUUAGGAAGCGGAUAUGAACGAUCUGAAUCAUAUCCACUCAGGUCUCCGCAAGCCAGAAAUGGGAUAUACACCUUGUUACGACCUUCAAGCCAUCCACUACUGCAAUCUAAGUCCUCAGCGCCUGAUGGACUUCCAACUUGUUCAAGAAGGCGAUAAAGGUCUUUCUCAUUGAAUCCUUCAGGUGGAGAGUAGUUUUCACAAACUGCAAAUGCCUCUAUG